RNAcentral lists this small RNA (273 nucleotides) under Arabidopsis thaliana (thale cress). Its description in RNAcentral is "ATSL241010". The record is from RNAcentral. Lineage: Eukaryota; Viridiplantae; Streptophyta; Magnoliopsida; Brassicales; Brassicaceae.
AAAUAAUAUCAAAAAUGAUAAUUUUGUAAUUUUUAAAUGAUAUUAAAUAUUUUGGAAGUUUUGUUUUAGUAACUAAUCGUGUAGUUAAUGUAGAAAGAUUUUGGGAAGAUAGUUAAAUGUCAAAUAUUUAAUUCGAAGAUUUACUUUCUAAUUAUCAAAAACAAUUAUUAAAUGCUAGUGGCAGUCACAGUAAAUAAGUCUCAACUUGAGGAUUUAUUUCACAAAGUGAUUGCAAAAAUGUAUAUGUAGAUGAUCAAUAUGAUUUUAUUUAGA